ACGCUGGCGGCAGGCCUAACACAUGCAAGUCGAGCGGAUGAGAGGAGCUUGCUCCUUAAUUCAGCGGCGGACGGGUGAGUAAUGCCUAGGAAUCUGCCUGGUAGUGGGGGACAACGCUUCGAAAGGAACGCUAAUACCGCAUACGUCCUACGGGAGAAAGCAGGGGACCUUCGGGCCCUUGCGCUAUCAGAUGAGCCUAGGUCGGAUUAGCUAGUUGGUGAGGUAAUGGCUCACCAAGGCGACGAUCCGUAACUGGUCUGAGAGGAUGAUCAGUCACACUGGAACUGAGACACGGUCCAGACUCCUACGGGAGGCAGCAGUGGGGAAUAUUGGACAAUGGGCGAAAGCCUGAUCCAGCCAUGCCGCGUGUGUGAAGAAGGUCUUCGGAUUGUAAAGCACUUUAAGUUGGGAGGAAGGGCAGUAAAUUAAUACUUUGCUGUUUUGACGUUACCGACAGAAUAAGCACCGGCUAACUCUGUGCCAGCAGCCGCGGUAAUACAGAGGGUGCAAGCGUUAAUCGGAAUUACUGGGCGUAAAGCGCGCGUAGGUGGUUCGUUAAGUUGGAUGUGAAAUCCCCGGGCUCAACCUGGGAACUGCAUUCAAAACUGUCGAGCUAGAGUAUGGUAGAGGGUGGUGGAAUUUCCUGUGUAGCGGUGAAAUGCGUAGAUAUAGGAAGGAACACCAGUGGCGAAGGCGACCACCUGGACUGAUACUGACACUGAGGUGCGAAAGCGUGGGGAGCAAAC
This 746-nucleotide ribosomal RNA is filed under the name uncultured bacterium. RNAcentral's name for it is "bacterial SSU rRNA". It matches the Rfam family "Bacterial small subunit ribosomal RNA", at positions 33 to 773 of the family's 1533-position model. The record is from RNAcentral.